GCCUGGGUAGCUCAGUUGGUUGAGCAUCUGCCUUCAGCUCAGAUCAUGAUCCCAGGGUCCUGGGAUCGAGCCCUGCAUUGGCU
RNAcentral lists this transfer RNA (83 nucleotides) under Ailuropoda melanoleuca (giant panda). It matches the Rfam family "tRNA". Rfam says of the family: Transfer RNA (tRNA) molecules are approximately 80 nucleotides in length. The record is from Rfam by way of RNAcentral. Lineage: Eukaryota; Metazoa; Chordata; Mammalia; Carnivora; Ursidae.